Molecule: ribosomal RNA, 480 nt
Filed under: uncultured bacterium
Lineage: Bacteria
Description: partial 16S ribosomal RNA
Rfam family: Bacterial small subunit ribosomal RNA
Source: RNAcentral
GACGAACGCUGGCGGCGCGCCUAACACAUGCAAGUCGAGCGAUGAAAUUUUAACCGCUUUCUUCGGAGAGAAGAUAAAAUGGAUUAGCGGCGGACGGGUGAGUAACACGUGAGAAACCUGCCUUUCACAAGGGGAUAGCCUCGGGAAACCGGGAUUAAUACCCUAUGACACAUUUCCUUCGCAUGGAAGAAAUGUUAAAACUCCGGUGGUGAAAGAUGGUCUCGCGCCUGAUUAGCUAGUUGGUGGGGUAACGGCCCACCAAGGCCAUGAUCAGUAACCGGCCUGAGAGGGUGAACGGUCACAUUGGAACUGAGACACGGUCCAAACUCCUACGGGAGGCAGCAGUGGGGAAUAUUGCACAAUGGAGGAAACUCUGAUGCAGCGACGCCGCGUGAGCGAUGAAGGCUUUCGAGUCGUAAAGCUCUGUCCUAUGGGAAGAUAAUGACGGUACCAUAGGAGGAAGCCCCGGCUAACUACGUG